ACAGUGAUGGUUUAGUGGUAGAAUUCUUACCUUCCAUGCAGAAGACCCAGGUUUGAUUCCUGGCCAAUGCA
RNAcentral lists this transfer RNA (71 nucleotides) under Loxodonta africana (African savanna elephant). It matches the Rfam family "tRNA". From Rfam's summary of the family: Transfer RNA (tRNA) molecules are approximately 80 nucleotides in length. Their secondary structure includes four short double-helical elements and three loops (D, anti-codon, and T loops). Further hydrogen bonds mediate the characteristic L-shaped molecular structure. tRNAs have two regions of fundamental functional importance: the anti-codon, which is responsible for specific mRNA codon recognition, and the 3' end, to which the tRNAs corresponding amino acid is attached (by aminoacyl-tRNA synthetases). tRNAs cope with the degeneracy of the genetic code in two manners: having more than one tRNA (with a specific anti-codon) for a particular amino acid; and 'wobble' base-pairing, i.e. permitting non-standard base-pairing at the 3rd anti-codon position. Lineage: Eukaryota; Metazoa; Chordata; Mammalia; Proboscidea; Elephantidae. The record is from Rfam by way of RNAcentral.